CGAAGGAGGACGUGGCCGCGGGGUGCUCGGCAGCAGGACGACCGAGACGUCCUGUCCCAAAGAGAAGAGCUCAGGCCUGCGCUGCGGGACAUCCAGGGGCAUCAGGGAGGCUUCCUGGAGGAGACGCCCUAACGGGAAGGAAGGCGCAGAUCUAAACGGAGAAAGGCGAGGCCUAGGCGGAAAGCGAGGCAGAUGGGAAGUUAGCUGGGUGUGAAGCCGGGGGAACAACCGCAGAGAUGGCGCUGCUCCCGCGGGCGCCUGCCGGGGCGGGAUCCCCUUAGGAUCACUCGCACCGGAAGUCGAUUCUGGAGGUGUGCGGGCCUGCAGCUCUCGGCGGAACUCACAGGCGCUCGCUCGCGCUCUCUCCCUCCCUCCCUCUCCCAGUCUCACGCAUAGGUGCCGUUGUGAGCACACAAGCUCCACAGGUUGGGAUUUACACUUCUGCAUCUAUCUCAGAAGAGAGGGGAAAGUCUAGGGCGUAGCCCCUAGCUGUCCAUUGAGUCAGGCUGAGCACUGCACCCUCGGGCCUCACACAUGCUCUUUGUUUGAGGAGGGGCCGCCCGCCCUCGCCCAGGGCCCAGCACUGGGCCUGGGAAAGCUCUGUUCCCAGGAGCCUGAGAAGUUGGCCUCUGUCUAAGGCCCUGGAGAGGAGAACCUGGGGGAACCAAGUGCCCUGGGCAGCCGGGAGUCAACCUGCCAGACUCCUCAAACAGCCGGGCCCUCCGGAAGGCUUUGGGCAGGGAGCUGGGGAGCGGGGCCCCAACUCUGGGUGCUGGGAAGACACAGUGGGGUCCCCGGGGCUGGCAGUGCCAGUGGCACCUGUGGCCUGGAUGCGGCCUAGCGAUGCCAACUGUGUCCAGUCCUCCAUAAAGGGCCGGCCUCGCCCACCUGUCCGUGGUGCCACUCAGCUCUCCGGGCAAGACUUUUUGGCCACGCUGGAAAAAUCAUCCUCGUUGUCGAUGUCCUGCUCACCUAGGAGUUGCUGCAACCCUGCCAGUCUGGAGGCGUGGCUUAGCAGCGGAGCCCUCACUGGGCAUGGCUGGGCCCUGAGCUCAAUCCCCAGCACACAAAAGAGAGGAGAAGACCCUCCACCACCCUAGAUGUGCUGGCCCCCAACGUGACAUCUGUGCCACACUUGGCAGUUCCUGCCCUUCUGUCCCCAUCCCUGAUCAUCUAAAUCUUACGACAGCCCCUGAGGCCCCAGGUACAUUUGCAAUCCUCCUGCCUCAGCCUCCUGAACAGCUGGGAUUACAAGCACGACCCCAGGUACAGGUUCUGAGCUGCAUUUUCCCUUGAUGUUCAGAGAGCUUGUGCAGCUGCCCUGAGGACUCCCAGGUAAUGCAGGAAUGGAGGAAACAAGCAGCCCAGACCCAGGUGGGCUGGCUGGGAAGACUCCGGGCUGUGUCCCUGCUCCUUGGACUUGGCAGUUGGGACAGAGACCCCUAGGCUGGAUCUCCGGGUGGAGGCUGGGAGCUGGACUUCCCAGUGGAACCCAGCGACCCCUCAGUGACAGUGACAGCCUAGUCAAGAUAACUGUAUCACCCUGUGCGGGGCCAGAUGGGAAGCGGGAGGCAGGUGGACAGCCCAGGACCCCUCAGGGACAGGCGGUGGUCAGGGCCUGAUGUGCCGAUGCCAGCACAGCCAUUUGCAUCUAAGAGCCCGGAUUCCCGGUGAUGGGGCUGGGGAUGAGGCUUUGGAGAGUCCUCUCUGCCCGAGGAGAGCAGCCUCCUGUUCCCAAGGGCUGGGUGUCUGUCAGUGACAGGACCGUCUUAGACCUGGCCAGGAUGCCAGCCUUCGGGGGCGGGGGCAUCUGGCAGAGCUCACCGCAACUUAAUAAAGCGGAUCAUCCACA
Molecule: long non-coding RNA, 1852 nt
Organism: Heterocephalus glaber (naked mole-rat)
Lineage: Eukaryota; Metazoa; Chordata; Mammalia; Rodentia; Bathyergidae
Source: RefSeq, a predicted model, not a curated record